This 774-nucleotide ribosomal RNA is filed under the name uncultured Neocallimastigales. RNAcentral describes it as "partial large subunit ribosomal RNA". It matches the Rfam family "Eukaryotic large subunit ribosomal RNA", at positions 22 to 616 of the family's 3401-position model. The record is from RNAcentral. Lineage: Eukaryota; Fungi; Neocallimastigomycota; Neocallimastigomycetes; Neocallimastigales.
UACUAGAGUAGCACUAGCAUAUCAAUAAGCGGAGGAAAAGAAACUAACAAGGAUUCCCCUAGUAACGGCGAGUGAAGCGGGAAGAGCUCAAAUUUGAAAUCUUAAAGGGUUUCCCUUUACGAAUUGUAGUUUAAAGAAGUGUUUUCUGUUGAGGUUUUGGUAAAAGUUCUUUGGAAUAGGACAUCAUAGAGGGUGAGAAUCCCGUAUUUGACCUUUACUUUCAACUUUGUGAUACACUUUCAAAGAGUCGGAUUGUUUGGGAAUGCAGUCCAAAAUGGGUGGUAAACUUCAUCUAAAGCUAAAUAUUGGCGAGAGACCGAUAGCGAACAAGUACCGUGAGGGAAAGAUGAAAAGAACUUUGAAAAGAGAGUUAAACAGUACGUGAAAUUGUCAAAAGGGAAGCGUUUGACACCAGUGUUGUUUUUCUGAAAAUCAAUUAAAGAACUGUUUAUGCUAAGUUGUUUAGACUUUAUCAGCUAUCUGUUUAGUUUUGAGCUUUUCUUUAAUGCACUUUUCAGUUAACAAGUCAACAUCAAUUUCUUUUGCUGUAAAAAAGCUUGAGGAAGGUGGCUUGAGAUUCGUCUUAAGUGUUUAUAGCCACUUGCCUAUGCAGUCGGAGAGAUUGAGGUCUGCAGCGUAGAUCCUUCGGGGCUAAAUGCAUUUGUGCUAAGUUAUAGCAUUUUAUAGACAACUUGUUGACUAUGAUUUGUCUUGUAGCUUACUCGCUUAUGUUAUUUUACCUACGCUUAGGAUGUUGAGCGCAUGUCUCUCUCU